UUCCGUAGGUGAACCUGCGGAAGGGUCAUUACAGAGCGUGAGACUCUGCCCGGGCUCGCCCCGCGUGCAGAGUUGACCCUCCACCCGUGUGAACUUAUGUCUUGUUGCUUUGGUGGGCCCGGCUCUUGGGCCGGCCUGCGUCUCGCGGGAUCGCGUCCGCCAAAGCCCCCCCUAACUCAUGUUGUCGUGUCGCUGAGGAAACGAAAGAGAAAUUGAAUCGUUAAAACUUUCAACAACGGAUCUCUUGGCUCUGGCAUCGAUGAAGAACGCAGCGAAAUGCGAUAAGUAAUGUGAAUUGCAGAAUUUAGUGAAUCAUCGAAUCUUUGAACGCACAUUGCGCCCCUUGGUAUUCCGAGGGGCAUGCCUGUUCGAGCGUCGUCACACCCCCUCAAGCCGCACCAUGUGCGUGGUUUGGUGUUGGGGCUCGCCGGUCCAGCGGCCCUUAAAGACAGUGGCGGUGUCGGUGUGGACUCUACGCGUAGUACAUUUCUCGCGACAGAGCCGCAGCGCACGCUGGCCAACAACUCCUUUUCUCAAAGGUUGACCUCGAAUCACGUAGGGAUACCCGCUGAACUU
This 576-nucleotide small RNA is filed under the name uncultured Golovinomyces. RNAcentral's name for it is "eukaryotic LSU rRNA". The stretch from base 225 to 378 matches the Rfam family "5.8S ribosomal RNA". Lineage: Eukaryota; Fungi; Ascomycota; Leotiomycetes; Helotiales; Erysiphaceae. The record is from RNAcentral.